UUUGGAAUAAUGUACAUAUUUUGCCGUUUCGGAAGGAAAUUGGUACUUUAAUUCACCAAAGUGGCAUUCAACUGAUCACAAAGUAUAGUCAGGACAUUACUGAUGUAAAAAACAGCGCCAUCACUAUUUGAAAAAAGUCAUUUUUGAUCAAAUCUAGACAGGCCCCAUUUCCAGCAGCUAUCACUCCAACACCUUAUCCUUGAGUAAUCAUGCUAAAUUGCUAAUUUGGUACUAGAAAAUCACUUGCCAUUAUAUCAAACACUGCUGGAAGAUAUUUGGUUCAUUAAAUGAAGCUUAAAAUUGUCUUUGUGUUUGUUUUUGAGUUGCCACAGUAUGCAAUAGACUGGCAUGUCUUAAGGUCAAUAUUAGGUCAAAAAUGGCAAAAAAGAAACAGCUUUCUCUAGAAACUCGUCAGUCAAUCAUUGUUUUGAGGAAUGAAGGCUAUACAAUGCUUGAAAUUGCCAAAAAACUGAAGAUUUCAUACAAAGGUGUACACUACAGUCUUCAAAGACAAAGGACAACUGGCUCUAACAAGGACAGAAAGCGAUGUGGAAAGACAGAUGUACAACUAAACCACCUCAGAGUGUCACUCACACAAUAUCAAGACAGUCUGAUGUUGAAUUUCAAAAUUAAAGCCCUCUAAAAUGUCAUAUAUACGCUGUGUUUUCUAUAAAUUCAGACAGAUAUUAAAAGGAAACUCCCUGUUUCCACAGAACAGUUUAAUUUCAGAAUGAUAGUACACUACCUGAGAGUGUCACUCACACAAUAUCAGGGCAUUUUGGUGUUGAAUUUCAAAAUUAAAGCCCUCUAAAAUCUCAUUUAUAUAUAAACUGUCCCUUUUUCAGGACACAGUAUUUUAAAGAUAAUUUUGUAAAACUUCAAAUAACUUUACAGAUCUUUAUUGUAAAGAGUUUAAACAAUGUUUUCCAUGCUUGUUCAAUGAACCAUAAACAAUUAAUGAACAUGCACCAGUGGAACGGUCGUUAAGACACUAACAGCUUACAGAAGGUAGGCAAUUAAUGUCACAGAUAUAAAAACUUAGGACACUAAAGAGACCUUUCUACUGACUCUGAAAAACACCAAUAGAAAGAUGCCCAGGGUUCCUGCUCAUCUGCGUGAACGUGCCUUUGGCAUGCUGCAUGGAGGCACGAGGAUUGCAGAUGUGGCCAGGGCAAUAAAUUGCAAUGACCAUUGUAGGAAAGUCUAUUCCUUUAAUUGCACUUUCAUACUUCACCACUAGAGGGCACAUGUCUUUCACAUUACUGAUUCCUAUACACCUUUCCCUUUAAGACCAUGUGCUUUAUACAUCAUACAAGCUGGGUUAAUGUGAGCAUAUAAUCUUUAAAACUGUGUGCGUUCGUGAAGAAAAAGUACGUUAUAUCUCAUUUUCUAGUAGAAAUAUACCUGUUAAUAAAGUUGAUGUUAAUCAUUAUGAUGUUGUAUUAAUCUUGUAAAUUGACAUUAUUUGGCCAUCUCUGUCGGGAAGCUGAUGUGCUAGUUUUACAGACAUGUGCUAUAAUGCACUGUUGUUAUAUUAAGGUAUAAAUGUUAAUCUUUUAGCCAGAUUAACUUCAUUUGACACACUACACGAUAAUUAUUGUGGAUUUGUCAGUGAAUUUCAGACAAUAGAUGAUUGUUUAUUGUUCAUUUAUGUUCAGUAUGGGAAAUGUUUAAUAUAUAACAAUUUAACAUAAGGAUUGUAAUAUUGAUUGUCUAAUUUGCACAAUUUUCUUCUGUUUCAGACCACACACCCAUACACACAUACCCUUUUCACCACUAUACAUUAUAAACCCAGUUGCUCACAGUUGUGACCUGUAUCCAUGUACCCAGCUUAUCAUUAAAGUUUUGUGGAUGUAACUCUCCGAGCCCUUACUCUCUUACCGGAGUCACCAGUUUUCAAGGACUAUCUGAACAUUCCAGAGGCACCACCUCUACAAAUGGUCCUUCGAGCCAGAUGAUAGCAAACUUGAAGACAACAUGCAGUCGCAGCAAGAGGUCACGGAGCCGAUCGUGCGCCCUCGUACUCAGCAGGAGAAGCACCCACCAGCCUACUUAAGUGAUUAUGACGUUGGGUAUCAACCAAGCCAAAUUCUUGCUUCCAGUGCGGAUACCAGCAGUAUAAUGCCAGUGGCUACCAUUCCAGCUGCACAACCAGACAAUGUGACUGCGCCUAGUAGACCACCUUCAUCCCAUUCAUCUGCUAGUUCACAUUGCAGCAAAUCAAGAACAAAGACCAGCAGAAGCUCUGGAUCCAGCCGGACAACGGCUUCACAACUGACUGAUCUACAGGCAGCUAUUGUAGAGGAGAAACUAAAGAGCAUGGAGCUUGCAGAGACAGAUGGUGGAGGAAAGCAAAGCUGAAGAACAGUGUGAAUUCCUGGAUCAACAAGCACGCCUAGCGCUAUAUGAGAGAGAAGAUAUGCUCAGAGAACAGCAAAGGAGAAGUCGGCAUCUAGAUGAAGAGGCCCGUGCAGCUCACAAGACCAAAGAACUGAUCACUAAGCAGCUUGAAAGACAGAGGUGCAUUAAACAGAAGGAGAUGGAGCUAGAGAAAACACGUCACAUCGCAUCCCUUCUUAGAGAAUCAGAGACUGAAAAUGUAACACCUGUUCCACAAACCAGAAGUGAACUUGACCCAGGGCAGGUACAGACUGAUAUACUCUGCUCACAGAAGGUAGAAGUUGCUCACAACAUGACACAUCAGUUAUCUGAUAAUCCACAGCACUCAACACCUUACAUACAUCAGAGUAAUCCUGUCACUACUGUAGGGCCUUGGCCCAAUCAAAAUGGCAGCAGAGACCGCAUGGCCCUUUGUUCUAUAAUCAAAGGAGAGACAUUGAACUCAGUUUCCCAGGAUCCUUCACAAAUUCACAACUGGAUGCGAAGUACCGCCCAUGGACCCAGUCUCAAACGCCAUUAGUUGAAAGCGGCCUACGACCGAUGACGUUAUCUUGUCAAUAAAACAGCGGACAGAUGUAGUUUGGCCUCUCUGUGCUAAGCUCUGCCUGGCUGUUAAGGGACAUCUGUACUGUGCACGUACUGAAGGAGUUUUCCCACCGUUUUGUACUGAGAACAAAGAGACCACGUUUUUCUAACCUCACCAUUUGGCCACGGUAGAGUAAGAUUAACUUAGCUUUGUUCAAGUCUUAUAGUAUACUUAUAACAACCGGUUCAGUUUCACUGUAAAGCAACAGUGAAUUUAUUUUGAAAAAUGGAAAGACGACCAGUUUCCCUUCUCCCUCUUUUUCAUUCAGCGUUGACUACAUUCUGCAUUCUUCUCCAUCGCUGGAUCCGAAGAAUAAAGCAGAGACGUGUCUUUUCGCUGACGAGCGUAAGACAAGGGACCAUCCAGACCGUUUCUCCUGACCGCUCAAUGCAACAGGAAUUCCAAUGGACAACCCUACUGAAAUCACACAGGAUUUCCCAAGAUGAAAUUCCUUUGGAUCCUUGGCAUCUUCCUCAACCAACAGCUCACACAAGCCAGUGAGGUGGUAGAAACCAGCCUGCCAACCAGUAUUGUCCUACAGGAGACCCCUGGGCUCUUAAACACCCAUUGCCACCUCUACACCCAAAGAAUAUACGUUCGUUUAGACCCUUGGGAUGUGUAUCGCAAACACAUCCAGUUAUGACGGAGGGCAGGGUAAGCGGAACCCAAACCCAGGACACAGCUGAACAUGGCAAAUUGACAACUGUCCACAUCCUAGAACAACUACAGAAAUCCCUAGUCACAGAGGAUGAACUCAGUGGGAAUAAAUGACCAAAGCGGUUCCUCGGUGGCCUGCUAGUAGCAGCAUCAGCCAUUGGUUCCCUGUUCUCUAUCGGCCUUUCGGCUGCCAACUCCAUCAGUCUCGGUACACUCCAAAGACAAAUGGGUGAACUUAAUGAGGAAAUUCCAGAAAUCCAAGAGAAACUCCUGUUACAACAAGAACAAUUACAGGAUCUGGGUAAAACCCUACAGGGUACCAUACUCACUGUGAACAUGCACUCUGCAAUUCUAAAUAACACUUUGCAUGCUCUGGAUGCCUUGUCAGAAGUUGUGAGAUCAGACAUAACAUAUUUGCGAAUGGUUAGAGAUCUAAUGCAUGACCUUGUAAGGGAAAUUAGCACGUCAGUUAACAGCCUGAGUGGGGGAAAGAUCCCAUCCUACCUAGUUCCCCUAAACAUGGUUGCACAAAUCCUUAGAUCGGCCACUACCACCGUUGUGCAAACUUCCCGGAUACAUCUGGCAUACAGCCUUGGCAGUGCAAUCCCCAUCCAUGUAAAUCCUCAGAACCUAGAGAUAGGAUUUAUCCUUAACUUACCCAUUAUAGAGAAACAGAACAUUUACCGACUGAAAUCCAUAUUGAACAUUGAGUUUUGGAAGAAUAAUGUACAUGUACACAUCAAAACACCACCGCUGCUUGCCUACCACGAUGAUGACCCCUCUCUCUACCUUAUUCCCAAUCUGAACAUGUGUACGAACACCAAGGAGAUACAUUGGGUUUGCCCCAGCAACCCCUUUUAUCAGAGAUAUUACCGACCACCUGUGCGGUCUGAGGGCUGACACCCCAGAGCAAAAAUGCCAGGCUAGUAUGUCUGUUAAAGACGAAGGGACAGAAUCUAGUGUAGAAAGAGCUAGUAGUUGAUGGCUUGUCAGUACCCCUGCCACCAAGAUCCUAAUGUCAUACGACCGUCAUGACACAAACACUAAAUUAACAAUCCUAAACCAAACGGUAUUCUUGAAGGUCCCUCAAGGGGCCACGGUACAUAUAGCCGACAUUGUCCUCCACCAUCUCAGUCCAGAGAGACACGAUUCAGAGAUUGAGAUGAUGGACGCAUUCAGAGGCCACAACCUCACUAUUGAUGAAACCCUUCAACAACAGCUUCUAGCUGAAGGGACCAAAUUAGUAAAGUUCAGUCUCAAAUUGACUGGGCUCAUGACUACAUUUUUCAAUCGUAUAGGAAAAUUAUCGGCUUAUCAAGAACACCCCAUCAGUUUGACUGCCCUUGGGCUCCUCCUUAGUGGUUGGAUCAUCACGGCAGGUAUUGCAUACGCCAUGCACAGACACAUCCAAACACUACACACUAGACUGGAUGCUAUGACACUCAUUCCACAGCGUUUCAAGCUCCUGUCUACCCCUCUACCACUAACUGCUCCUAACUCUGCCCAGGAACAGUUAUACUAACUGUAACAAUCUUUCCCAUUUUCCUUUUCAUAAUCAUUGAAAACUCAGGGAUAACAAAGGGUUGUUGAAGUGUUUGAUGUGUUUUACCAAUGUGAAGUGCUGUUUUGAUAGAAACUAUGUUAGCUUGCCUAGUUAGAAUUCAUCUGCCCAGAUGUUACCUACUAUGACUGCCCAGGUAUCAAAAGCCUUUAUGAACUGUUAAUGUUUCCAGGAACUAAGCUCAUGCAAACCCAGGACACAUGGACUGUACAACUUUCGGGUUGCUCUCAAGGACUGAACUGUUCAACUUUUGGGUUGCUCUCAAGGACUGUGGCAGGAACCCCAACCUUAAGACCAAAGGGGGGAGGUGUAGGGCCUUGGCCCACUCAAAAACUGUGAUUUUUCUUGUGAAACUAAAUCAUAUUUUUGAUUCUAAAUGCUGAUGUUUUGAGUAUAUUUUUAUGUUAAACUCUCGCUGUUUGCUGUUUCGAGUUGGGAGAUUUGUAUUUAGUUUUCUUUUGGGGUUACGUUUGUUUUGUUGAGUGAUCUGAACUAGUAAUUCAGUCCCGCUGUUACGAGUGGUUACCCUUAAUUAAAUUGCAUGCACUUUUCCUCUCUCUCUCACUCUCAUUCUCUCUCUCUCUCACUGAUAUUCAUUGAGUGAGCGGUGCCGCGGUUUAUGUUCGAUUCAGGCUGGUGAACCAAAUUCUCCCACCUGUUUCGUCAGUUCCUUUAUGUGUCCGCUCAUUUCCACCCUCACGUGGUACCAGCUCCAUUUUGGAUCUAACCCUCCAUUUUGAACCUGAUCCUCCAUUUUGAUUCCUUUGUUACUGCAUCUGGACACACACACACACACACUCAUAUACACACGCACA
Long non-coding RNA from Myxocyprinus asiaticus (Chinese sucker), 6019 nucleotides. RefSeq lists it as uncharacterized. The record is from RefSeq and is a predicted model, not a curated record. The transcript has 3 exons. NCBI's taxonomy places the organism in Eukaryota, Metazoa, Chordata, Actinopteri, Cypriniformes, Catostomidae.